RNAcentral lists this small RNA (717 nucleotides) under Pan troglodytes (chimpanzee). RNAcentral's name for it is "processed transcript". The record is from RNAcentral. Lineage: Eukaryota; Metazoa; Chordata; Mammalia; Primates; Hominidae.
AGUUUAGCUUGUAUUAUAAGCUCUCCAAUGACCAAUGGAGAUGCGGGGCAAGGGGAUUCAGCGGAUCUAGCUGUUAAUGCCACUGAUUUGUGGUGACCAAUAUGGAUUUUCUUUCUGUCGUUUGUUUCAAGGCACUAGAAGGAGACUUUUGGUCCACUGUCCAGGGGUCUAUGGAGACUAAUAUUAGCAAGACAUCUACAAAAGGAGGCCCAAGCUCAACACAAUAAUUCUGAAUUCACAGAAGAACAAAAGAAAACCAUAGGCAAAAUUGCAACAUGCUUGGAAUUGCGAAGUGCAGCUUUACAGUCCACACAGUCUCAAGAAGAAUUUAAACUGGAGGACCUGAAGAAGCUAGAACCAAUCCUAAAGAAUAUUCUUACAUAUAAUAAAGAAUUCCCAUUUGAUGUUCAGCCUGUCCCAUUAAGAAGAAUUUUGGCACCUGGUGAAGAAGAGAAUUUGGAAUUUGAAGAAGAUGAAGAAGAGGGUGGUGCUGGAGCAGGGUCUCCUGAUUCUUUUCCUGCUAGAGUUCCCGGUACUUUAUUACCAAGGUUGCCAUCGGAACCAGGAAUGACAUUACUCACUAUCAGAAUUGAGAAAAUUGGUUUGAAAGAUGCUGGGCAGUGCAUCGAUCCCUAUAUUACAGUUAGUGUAAAGGAUCUGAAUGGCAUAGACUUAACUCCUGUGCAAGAUACUCCUGUGGCUUCAAGAAAAGAAGAU